GACUGGCCAUGGGCCAGUGGCCGAGUGAAUGCUCAGGGCUCUAGCCCACCAAAGCAGCUGCCCUGAGGCAGUGGGGAUUCCACAGGACAAAGGCCAUCCCUCUCUGGCCUAACAGACCAUGAGGAGUCAUAAGUAGCUGAUAUCACAGAUUGGUCAAAUCUGGAGGGCUGCCUUCCUUGAAAUUUCCAUCUUGGGUCCUAGAGCUGGUGAAGAUGGGAUGGAGGUGGAAGUAUCAUUGGCUACUUCCAGGACAGAAGGAAAUUCAGAGCAAGUAAACCAACAGAAAGAGAUUCCAGAAAGCAACAUGCUCCCUGAUGAAAAGGCCAUGGUCAUUGUCUUGCGGGAUUGGCCUGGCCUGGCUCUGACAGUUCUCAGCUGCUCCAUAAAUCUCGCAUCAGUUCCAUCUGGCCAAAAAGAUGUCAUCACCGUUUUCUCAUAGCGACGAAGAGGAAAAGAUCAUGUGCUCUGGGGGGAGCUAGCUGCCACAUUGUGAGGAUGCUCAAGCAGCCCUGUGGUCCCUAUGGCAACUGAUGAAGGCCUCCUACUA
Molecule: long non-coding RNA, 547 nt
Organism: Bos taurus (domestic cattle)
Lineage: Eukaryota; Metazoa; Chordata; Mammalia; Artiodactyla; Bovidae
Source: Ensembl